This 71-nucleotide transfer RNA is filed under the name Penicillium camemberti FM 013. RNAcentral describes it as "tRNA-Gln (TTG) (tRNA-Gln-TTG-4-1)". It matches the Rfam family "tRNA". Rfam says of the family: Transfer RNA (tRNA) molecules are approximately 80 nucleotides in length. Their secondary structure includes four short double-helical elements and three loops (D, anti-codon, and T loops). The record is from RNAcentral. Lineage: Eukaryota; Fungi; Ascomycota; Eurotiomycetes; Eurotiales; Aspergillaceae.
GCCCGGCUAGCUCAAUUGGCAGAGCGUGUGACUUUGUAUCACAAGGUUGGGGUCGACCCCCCCGUCGGGCA